CCUACGGGAGGCAGCAGUGAGGAAUAUUGGUCAAUGGGCGCGAGCCUGAACCAGCCACGUAGCGUGAAGGCUGACUGCCCUACGGGUUGUAAACUUCUUUUAUAAAGGAAUAAAGUGAGGCACGGGUGCCUUUUUGUAUGUACUUUAUGAAUUAGGAUCGGCUAACUCCGUUCCAGCAGCAGCGGUAAUACGGAGGAUCCGAGCGUUAUCCGGAUUUAUUGGGUUUAAAGGGAGCGUAGAUGGGUUGUGACGUCAGUUGUGAAAGUUUGCGGCUCAACCGUAAAAUUGCAAUUGAUCCUGGCAGUCUUGAGUACAGUUGAGGUAGGCGGAAUUCGUGGUGUAGCGGUGAAAUGCGUAGAUAGAACGAAGAACACCGAGUGCGAAGGCAGCUUACUAAACUGCCACUGACAUUGAUGCUCGAAAGUGUGGGUAUCAAACAGGAUUAGAUACCCGAGUAGUC
RNAcentral lists this ribosomal RNA (460 nucleotides) under uncultured bacterium. RNAcentral describes it as "partial 16S ribosomal RNA". It matches the Rfam family "Bacterial small subunit ribosomal RNA", at positions 338 to 795 of the family's 1533-position model. The record is from RNAcentral.